UGGUACGGAAACCUACUAAGUGAUAACUUUCAAAUUCAGAGAAACCCCGGAAUUAAGAAAAGUGGGCAAUCCUGAGCCAAAUCCUGUUUUCUCAAAACAAAGGUUCAGAAAACGAAAAAAAAAAGAAAAGGAUAGGUGCAGAGACUCAAUGGAAGCUAUUCUAACAAAUGGAGUUGACUGCAUUGGUAGAGGAAUCUUUCCAUCAAAACUUCAGAAAGGAUGAAGGAUAAACGUAUCUAUUGAAUAUUAUAUCAAUUAAUGAUGGCCCAAAUCUGUAUCUGUAUUUUUUAAUCUAAAAGGUGGAAGAAUUAGUGUGAAUUGAUUCCACAUUGAAGAAAGAAUCGAAUAUUAAUUCAUCAAAUCAUUCACUCCACAG
Molecule: transfer RNA, 376 nt
Filed under: Mazus stachydifolius
Lineage: Eukaryota; Viridiplantae; Streptophyta; Magnoliopsida; Lamiales; Mazaceae
Description: partial tRNA-Leu (UAA)
Rfam family: Group I catalytic intron (bases 1-228)
About the family: Group I catalytic introns are large self-splicing ribozymes. They catalyse their own excision from mRNA, tRNA and rRNA precursors in a wide range of organisms. The core secondary structure consists of 9 paired regions (P1-P9).
Source: RNAcentral